AACAGCAAAGCGGGAGAAGAGCCGCUGAGUGGGGAGGACAGAGGGACAGAGAGCCUGAUUCUUUAAAGGGGCAAAGCGGGAGAGGAGAGGAGCCGCUUACACAAGUGUAAGUGGCUCCUGUCCGGUUGGUUCCUUUAAAGCAAGCAGGCUCUCUGUCCCUCUCUCCUCCCCACUCAGAGGCUCUUCUCCCGCUUUGCUGG
This 200-nucleotide microRNA precursor is filed under the name Podarcis lilfordi (Lilford's wall lizard). Lineage: Eukaryota; Metazoa; Chordata; Lepidosauria; Squamata; Lacertidae. The record is from RNAcentral.